UAAGAUGGACCCUAGAAAGUCCCGCAAGCACAAAGGCUUGGUCCUGACUUUAUUAUCAACUUUAGCCAAACUUACACAUGCAAGUAUCCGCGCCCCUGUGAGAAUGCCCUACAGUUCCCCGCCCGGGAACAAGGAGCUGGUAUCAGGCACAUCCUAUUAAGCCCACGACACCUUGCUUAGCCACACCCUCAAGGGAACUCAGCAGUGAUAAACAUUAAGCUAUAAGUGAAAACUUGACUUAGUUAAAGCUAAGAGGGCCGGUAAAACUCGUGCCAGCCACCGCGGUUAUACGAGAGGCCCGAGUUGACAAACACCGGCGUAAAGCGUGGUUAAGUUAAAAAUCGUACUAAAGCCAAACAUCUUCAAGACUGUUAUACGUAACCGAAGACAGGAAGUUCAACCACGAAAGUCGCUUUAUCUGAUCUGAGCCCACGAAAGCUAAGGAACAAACUGGGAUUAGAUACCCCACUAUGCCUAGCCCUAAACAUUGAUAGUACUAUACACCCACUAUCCGCCCGGGUACUACGAGCAAUAGCUUAAAACCCAAAGGACUUGGCGGUGCUUUAGAUCCACCUAGAGGAGCCUGUUCUAGAACCGAUAACCCCCGUUCAACCUCACCCUUCCUUGUUUUACCCGCCUAUAUACCGCCGUCGUCAGCUUACCCUGUGAGGGACUAAUAGUAAGCAAAGCUGGUACAACCUAAAACGUCAGGUCGAGGUGUAGCGUAUGGAGGGGGAAGAAAUGGGCUACAUUCGCUACUACAGCGAACACGAAUGAUGCACUGAAACACACAUCUGAAGGAGGAUUUAGCAGUAAGCUGGAAAUAGAGCGUCCCGCUGAAAUUGGCCCUGAAGCGCGCACACACCGCCCGUCACUCUCCCCAAAAGCCCCAACCACUUAACUAAAACCUAACAAUCAAGAAGGGGAGGCAAGUCGUAACAUGGUAAGUGUACCGGAAGGUGCACUUGGUAAAAU
Molecule: non-coding RNA, 975 nt
Filed under: Cottus pollux (Japanese fluvial sculpin)
Lineage: Eukaryota; Metazoa; Chordata; Actinopteri; Perciformes; Cottidae
Description: partial 12S rRNA
Rfam family: Bacterial small subunit ribosomal RNA
Source: RNAcentral